Molecule: ribosomal RNA, 433 nt
Filed under: uncultured bacterium
Lineage: Bacteria
Description: partial 16S ribosomal RNA
Rfam family: Bacterial small subunit ribosomal RNA
Source: RNAcentral
AACGAACGCUGGCGGCAUGCCUAACACAUGCAAGUCGAACGAGACCUUCGGGUCUAGUGGCGCACGGGUGCGUAACGCGUGGGAACCUGCCCUUAGGUUCGGAAUAACUCCCCGAAAGGGGUGCUAAUACCGGAUAAUGUCUUCGGACCAAGGAUUUAUCGCCUUUGGAUGGGCCCGCGUUGGAUUAGCUAGUUGGUAGGGUAAAAGCCUACCAAGGCGACGAUCCAUAGCUGGUCUGAGAGGAUGGUCAGCCACACUGGGACUGAGACACGGCCCAGACUCCUACGGGAGGCAGGAGUGGGGAAUAGUGGACAAUGGGCUAAAGCCUGAUCCAGCAAGGCCGCGUGAGUGAUGAAGGCCUUAGGGUUGUAAAGCUCUUUUACCCGGGAUGAUAAUGACAGUACCGGGAGAAUAAGCCCCGGCUAACUCCGUG